This 703-nucleotide ribosomal RNA is filed under the name Candidatus Eiseniibacteriota bacterium. Its description in RNAcentral is "bacterial SSU rRNA". It matches the Rfam family "Bacterial small subunit ribosomal RNA", at positions 1 to 682 of the family's 1533-position model. The record is from RNAcentral. Lineage: Bacteria; Candidatus Eiseniibacteriota.
UGGAGAGUUUGAUCCUGGCUCAGAACGAACGCUGGCGGCGUGGAUUAGGCAUGCAAGUCGUACGCGAAAGAGGGAGCAAUCCCUUGAGUAGAGUGGCGAACGGGUGAGUAACGCGUGAGGAACCUGCCUUUGACAGGGGGAUAACACUCCCAACGGGGUGCUAAUACCGCAUGAGACCACGGGAUCGCAUGAUCCUGAGGUCAAAGAUGGCCUCUAUUUAUAAGCUAUCGGUCGAAGAUGGCCUCGCGUCCCAUUAGCUUGUUGGCGGUGUAAAAGACCACCAAGGCGACGAUGGGUAGCUGGUCUGAGAGGAUGGUCAGCCACACUGGGACUGAGAUACGGCCCAGACUCCUACGGGAGGCAGCAGUCGAGAGGCUUCGGCAAUGGGGGAAACCCUGACCGAGCGACGCCGCGUGGAGGAUGAAGGCCCUUGGGUUGUAAACUCCUUUUAUUCGGGAAGAAGUGCGAUCAGGUGAAUAAUCUGGUCGUUUGACGGUACCGGAUGAAUAAGCUCCGGCUAACUCCGUGCCAGCAGCCGCGGUAAUACGGGGGGAGCAAGCGUUGUUCGGAAUCACUGGGCGUAAAGGGCGUGUAGGCGGUCAAGUAAGUGGGAUGUGAAAUGCCCCGGCUCACCCGGGGACCUGCAUCCCAAACUGCUUGGCUUGAGUAUGGGAGAGGAUGAGGGAAUUCCUGGUGUAGCGGU